This 465-nucleotide ribosomal RNA is filed under the name uncultured bacterium. RNAcentral describes it as "partial 16S ribosomal RNA". It matches the Rfam family "Bacterial small subunit ribosomal RNA", at positions 28 to 507 of the family's 1533-position model. The record is from RNAcentral.
GACGAACGCUGGCGGCGUGCUUAACACAUGCAAGUCGAACGGAAAGGCCCUGCUUGCAGGGUACUCGAGUGGCGAACGGGUGAGUAACACGUGGGUGAUCUGCCCUGCACUUCGGGAUAAGCCUGGGAAACUGGGUCUAAUACCGGAUAGGAGCCAUUUUUAGUGUGAUGGUUGGAAAGUUUUUUCGGUGUAGGAUGAGCUCGCGGCCUAUCAGCUUGUUGGUGGGGUAAUGGCCUACCAAGGCGGCGACGGGUAGCCGGCCUGAGAGGGUGGACGGCCACAUUGGGACUGGGAUUCGGCCCAGACUCCUACGGGAGGCAGCAGUGGGGAAUAUUGCACAAUGGGCGCAAGCCUGAUGCAGCGACGCCGCGUGGGGGAUGACGGGCUUCGGGUUGUAAACUCCUUUCGCUAGGGACGAAGCUUUUUGUGACGGUACCUAGAUAAGAAGCACCGGCUAACUACGUG